RNAcentral lists this non-coding RNA (209 nucleotides) under Bacteroidales bacterium. The record is from RNAcentral. Lineage: Bacteria; Pseudomonadati; Bacteroidota; Bacteroidia; Bacteroidales.
UAUAUUUGCAUCAGCAAAGAUAUCGGACUGUUUUGUCCGUAAGGAAUACAGGUGAAAGUCCUGAGCAGGCACGCUGCCGUAACUCUCGUUUCCCUAUAUAUAUAUUUAUGUGGAGACGACGCGACACAAGCCAUUGGAGAACCGGAAUGCUCCGAGAAGGCGUCGCAACAAGAGAAGCCGGAAAACAAACUCUUUGCUAUCCGGAAGCC